AGGGCACGGUGCCGCGUGCGUACACAUGCAAGUCGACGAGAAAGUCCGCUUCGGUGGAUGAGUAAAGUGGCGAACGGGUGAGUAACGCGUGGGUAACCUGCCCUUGAAUCUGGAAUAACUUCGCGAAAGCGAGGCUAAUACCGGAUAUUGUCCCAGGGACCGUGGUCCUUGUGAUGAAAGAUGACCUCUUCACGAAAGUUGUCGUUCAGGGAGGGGCUCGCGUACCAUUAGCUAGUUGGUAGGGUAAUGGCCUACCAAGGCGAUGAUGGUUAGCUGGUCUGAGAGGAUGACCAGCCACACUGGCACUGAAACACGGGCCAGACUCCUACGGGAGGCAGCAGUGAGGAAUUUUGCGCAAUAGGGGAAACCCUGACGCAGCAACGCCGCGUGAGUGAAGAAGGCCCUCGGGUCGUAAAGCUCUGUCAAGUGGGAAAAAAGCUUACUGGUGAAUAGCCAGUAAGACUGAUGGUACCAUUGAAGGAAGCACCGGCUAACUCCGUGCCAGCAGCCGCGGUAAUACGGAGGGUGCAAGCGUUGUUCGGAAUUACUGGGCGUAAAGGGCGUGUAGGCGGUGUGGUAUGUCAGAUGUGAAAGCCCUGGGCUUAACCCAGGAAGUGCAUUUGAAACUGCCAUGCUUGAGUAUGGGAGAGGAGAGUGGAAUUCCCAGUGUAGAGGUGAAAUUCGUAGAUAUUGGGAGGAACACCCGUGGCGAAGGCGACUCUCUGGACCAAUACUGACGCUGAGGCGCGAAAGCGUGGGGAGCAAACAGGAUUAGAUACCCUGGUAGUCCACGCCGUAAACGAUGAGCACUAGGUGUAGCGGGUAUUGACCCCUGCUGUGCCGUAGCUAACGCAUUAAGUGCUCCGCCUGGGGAGUACGGCCGCAAGGCUAAAACUCAAAGGAAUUGACGGGGGCCCGCACAAGCGGUGGAGCAUGUGGUUCAAUUCGACGCAACGCGAAGAACCUUACCUGGAUUUGACAUCCUUUGACAGCCCCGGAAACGGGGUCUUCCCUGCUUGCAGGGACAGAGAUCACUAGUGAAUUCGCGCCGCUGCAGUCGA
This 1061-nucleotide ribosomal RNA is filed under the name uncultured bacterium. RNAcentral's name for it is "bacterial SSU rRNA". It matches the Rfam family "Bacterial small subunit ribosomal RNA", at positions 26 to 1068 of the family's 1533-position model. The record is from RNAcentral.